This 1287-nucleotide long non-coding RNA is filed under the name Marmota monax (woodchuck). Lineage: Eukaryota; Metazoa; Chordata; Mammalia; Rodentia; Sciuridae. The record is from RNAcentral.
GGCGGGGCUGCACCCACCCCACACCCUAGCACUGACUCCUGUCCUCAAUUCUCUUCUCUGUCCUCCCUCCUUUGCCGGCCCCCACCCUUUUCUUGUACAUCCAUGUUCUGCUGCGGUGUGUGGGAGAGAGGACAGUUGUGGUUUUAAUUACGACAGGCUCCUUCAGGAGGUGGAAUUAUAUCACCAUUAUGAUGCUUUCAACCUUGAGAAGCCUUGGAAAACCAAGGCUAAUCACCCUGAUGUAGUCCACGGCUGAAAUCUCCAGGUCAUAUGACAAUAAGGACAGGUAAAGGUGACUGUGGUGUAGAAAUCGCCCUUCAGUCUGGGGCCCUAUUCUGUCAUCUGCCCUACCAACAUUCUUGAAGUUUUUUUGCAAAACCUUCGCUGUCCUGUGCAGGAGUUGUGUGUCUGGGUGUACCCAGACUGGGUGUAUUUUUGUGGGUGUAUGUGUUUUAGAAAUUUUUCACCUCAAUAACAAAGAGGUGUGUAGCCAGGAGGUUUCUGAAAUGUAUCAUGGAUGGAGACAACCCUCCGCCAAUGCCCUGGUUCUUCUGCUGAGGUGAGUCCGGAUGACCUUGUCACCCGCUUCGAGAGGAUAUUUGUAAGAACCAGACACAGAGCACAUGUGGGGAGCGAGUGUUGGAGGAGGCCCAGAGCAGAUGGGAAGAGGCAGACGGGGAACCUCCCUCUGCAGCGGUGUCACUGAAGACCUGCCUGGAGCUGUCGUCUUCUCCUAGUUGGUCUUUGACAGAGAGGUGUUCCCUGGCCAGCGUCUGCAUCAACACACACAUUUCAUUUCUGGAAAUCCCCCCUCCAGCCCACCCCCCUCCAAAAGUCCAAAGCUCAAUCCCAUGAUCUUUGAAAGGAAGGAAGGAAGGGAAAAUCUGUUGGGCCUGGCUAAACAGAGAGUGGGAAGAAGGUGACCCUGGGGACACAUUCUUGUGAGGGGAAGGACAGAGCUGGUUAGAUGGGGUCUGCCUGGAGGCAUAGUGAGCUCAGGCUGCCAUCACAAGACACCACAGCCCGGUGGCUUACAUAAUAGAAGUAUGUUCCUCGCAGCUCUGGAAGCCGGGUGCCUGAGACCACAGUGCCAGCACGGUUGGGUCCUGGCUUGCAGAUGGUCACCUUCUCACUGUCCUAACAUGGCCUUUCCUAGCUGUGUGUGCCUGGAGACAGGGAGCGAUUUUGGCCUUCCUCUCCCAAGGGCACUGUCUCAGUCCAUUUGGAUGCUACAGUGAAAUGCUAGAUAAUUUAUAAAGAGCAGAAAUGUGCUGCUCAUAAUUGUAG